GUUAUUGCUGGUUUUUUUUUUUUUUUUUUUUUUUGAAAUAACAGCGCUGUUUCGCGGUCCGCACGUCACGUUGACGUUACAAAGCCGCCCGUGGCCGUUUGCGUCACAACGUUCCGUAAUUGGCAGCAAAUGGGCUCAGCAAAUGGGCUUUAAUUCCAUUUGCGCAAUCAACGGCCCGUAAACGUAACGGUCAUGCCGAGAGAGGAUCGACAGUCGAUGCCUGUCAGAAGCGUCGGCCGGUCGGCCUCGCGUUAGAUAACAAAAUUACCUGCCACUUUUUGCGGCUUGCAUUUAAUUAACGCACCUUCGAUUCAAUUUUCACGACGGCGCAGCCUGCAGAAAAUCCGCGCGAAUUCUUCGAAUGGCGAUCUACGUGAAACGAUCUUAAAAUGGUUUAAGGACGAAGGCAAAACGCGGUCCGGAUUACUUCGUGAGUCCACUUUGAUCCGAAAAAGCAGUCAACUCCCUCCGCCCUCGUGCUGUCGGCUGGUACCAAUCGCGCCCCGUCUGCAGCUUUUAAAAGUCCGAUCGAACGGCGCCACAAAGAGGAUAAAUGCGACUGACAGACAACGAAGUUCGGAGAACAAGUGGACGGCCCUAUGAGCUGAACCGGUGCAGGGAAACACAGCGGAGGAUGAGGCGGAGUAGGAGUAGGGCGGAGGUGCCAAAGGUAUAGGAAGGAAGAGAAAGUGAAAGAAGCGAGGGGAAGGAAAAAGAGAGAAGGCCUAUUCACGAUUGUGCUGUCGUAAAUAGGUUAAACGGCAGGUCGAGAGGGCAGCCAAUUUAAAUCACCGCCAAUUCUGUGCAGUCCAAUUCGAUUCCAGUGAGAUCGUUUUGAAACCACCCGACGGCACUUCCAUUUUCACUUUCUCUGUUUUCCGCCUUCCCACUCUUCGACCUGUGCCAUCCACGAGCUCGAUAUCAUCCGCGAUUGUAGCAACAAUGAGUCAACUUUCGAGCUAUUUUCUCGCUGUUUGAUUUGCGCUUCGACGCUCGCGCAAGCUCGGCACGUUCGAGGCGAGCACGACGUCGUCCGUCCUCGAGUAAUCAACAUUCGACUGCACUCGUCACCGCAAAUGUAUUGUACUCGCCCGAGUUGUUUGGUACGCAUGCUGGUACUUGCGCUCGCUAGUUUAAUUUCGAUUACAGGUGCUGCCCUUCGUCGCGCAAAUGUAACAACGACGCGUGCGUAUUAUGCGGGCCAAUUUAUGCGCAACGCAAUUAUCGUACGUUGUAGCCGGAAAUAGACGAUUUUUAGGAGUCAGUUUAAGAGUUGUCUGUUAUCCCCGCGGGAGUUUCUCAAAAAAACUAUAAUAACAUCGCAGAAAAUUAAUGCUUGUGAAUAAGCUCACGAGUCACUUCUGGUCAAUAUUAGAGUCAAUUUUUCAGAAUAAAACAUGCAAUAAAAUUUAUAUUCCAAUUGGUUAGAAUAUAUAUUUAUGCUUUUUAAUAAUUAAUUAAUUAUUGGAAUUUUUUAAUUAACGUAUCUAGAGUAAUCGGAUCGUAAAAUAUUAACUCUGUCAUAAGUAUUUAAAAUUGCAACAUCUCGAAAGGACAAGUAUCAUAUCGGGCUUGUGCGCGUUCUCGAUAUCCAGUGCACCGCGAAAAA
Long non-coding RNA from Solenopsis invicta (red fire ant), 1609 nucleotides. RefSeq lists it as uncharacterized. NCBI's taxonomy places the organism in Eukaryota, Metazoa, Arthropoda, Insecta, Hymenoptera, Formicidae. The record is from RefSeq and is a predicted model, not a curated record. The transcript has 2 exons.